CGGUCGCUACCUGGUGCGUCAGGUCCAAAAGAUCCCUGGGGCCAAUGUUCUCUACUAGGGAGCUGUCCCUGUCGAGGCCGUGGUCUCGGUAUUACGGCGCCCACCUGCGUAAGCAGGCCACAGAGGACUUACCGGGCCAACGGCCAAGGCGGCUCCGCC
RNAcentral lists this non-coding RNA (159 nucleotides) under Alphaproteobacteria bacterium. RNAcentral's name for it is "6S RNA". It matches the Rfam family "6S / SsrS RNA". From Rfam's summary of the family: E. coli 6S RNA was the first non coding RNA to be sequenced, but its function was unknown until recently. It consists of 184 nucleotides that fold into an extended hairpin structure with a large single-stranded internal bulge. The record is from RNAcentral. Lineage: Bacteria; Pseudomonadati; Pseudomonadota; Alphaproteobacteria.